This 253-nucleotide ribosomal RNA is filed under the name uncultured bacterium. Its description in RNAcentral is "partial 16S ribosomal RNA". It matches the Rfam family "Bacterial small subunit ribosomal RNA", at positions 524 to 776 of the family's 1533-position model. The record is from RNAcentral.
UACGGGGGGGGCAAGCGUUGUUCGGAAUUACUGGGCGUAAAGGGCUCGUAGGUGGCCAACUAAGUCAGACGUGAAAUCCCUCGGCUUAACCGGGGAACUGCGUCUGAUACUGGAUGGCUAGAGUUUGGGAGAGGGAUGCGGAAUUCCAGGUGUAGCGGUGAAGUGCGUAGAUAUCUGGAGGAACACCGGUGGCGAAGGCGGCAUCCUGGACCAACACUGACGCUGAGGAGCGAAAGCCAGGGGAGCGAACGGG